This 1165-nucleotide long non-coding RNA is filed under the name Homo sapiens (human). Its description in RNAcentral is "HSALNT0391828". Lineage: Eukaryota; Metazoa; Chordata; Mammalia; Primates; Hominidae. The record is from RNAcentral.
GGAGCUCAGAAGCAGCUUAACUGGAUGGCUCUGACUCAGCGUCUCUCAUGAGGUGGUCGAGGUGGAGGCUGGGGCUGCAGUCAUCCGAAGAUUUGACUGGUGCAGGAAGAUCUGCUUCCAAGGUGACUCAUAUGUGUGGCUGUUGGCAGGAGGCUUCAGUCCUUGCCAUGUGAGCCUCUCUUCACAUCAUAACUGGCUUCUUCAAGAAUGAAUGAUCCAAGAGAAAGAAAGAAAGAGAAGCUGCAGUGUCUUUUAUAACCUAACCUUGGAAGUGACAUACCAUCAUUCCUGCAUAUUCUAUUGGUUACACAGACCAACCCCAGUACAGCGUGGGAGCAGACUACACAGUUUGAGAAGAUGGCGGCCUGAACCGGAGUCCUUCUUCCCCUCCUCCCUCUCCGCUGCUGCAAUGCCCAGGCCCCCCGCAACGUUCCUCGUCUGUAAUGGUGCCAGAGGCUUUAAAUCUUGCAGAAGCCACAUCUGCUGCCUGCAGCAGAGAUGGGGUUUCACCAUAUUGGCCAGGCUGGUCUUGAACUCAAGAUGAUUCGCCCAACACAGCCUCUCAAAGUGCUGGGAUUACAGUCUCCGGUAUGUCAUUAUCAGCAGUGUGAAAAUGGACUCACUCCCACCCUGUCUGGAUCUGGACAAGAGCCCACCACCCCGUUGGCAGUAGUCAGGCAGCUCUGCUUCUAAGAACCUGCAGCUUUUGGAAGAAAGGCACCCUGUGGUUUCAGAAGCCCAAGAGUCCCUGCAGCUCAGCACCCCCAGCCUGGUGCUUGGCAGAUGACUGCCUCCUCACUUAGCAGAGGGAGCAGAAAACUGUGUAUUCUUCAGAACAUCAUGAUAACCUGGCACUCAUGGGUCUAUGGAGAGAAUUCAGGGGGUCUGGGAGCUUGGAUGGAAUAAAUUUGCAUCUUUAUUUUCAGGAAAGUUUUACUGAAGUUUAGCAUUUUCUUUCAUUAUAAAUGGAAUCAGUAUAACCCAAUAGUAUGAGCAGUUACUUCUCCGCAACAUCAAAGUGGCUGCAGAUAUCUCAAAAUAGUAUUUACAUUUAUCAUAACUUAGAAAUUUGGGUGGUAAUUAAACCAGCAACUAUUCUUUGUUUAAUGCAUUAAGAAAGAAGUAUGUAUACUAUCAUAUCUCAAUUAAAAAUAUUUUAAGAACU